This 498-nucleotide ribosomal RNA is filed under the name uncultured bacterium. RNAcentral's name for it is "bacterial SSU rRNA". It matches the Rfam family "Bacterial small subunit ribosomal RNA", at positions 39 to 526 of the family's 1533-position model. The record is from RNAcentral.
GCCGCCGCCGUAACACAUGCAAGUCGAGCGGUAACACAGAGGAGCUUGCUCCUUGGGUGACGAGCGGCGGACGGGUGAGUAAUGCCUGGGGAUCUGCCCGAUAGAGGGGGAUAACUACGGGAAACUGUAGCUAAUACCGCAUAAUGUCUACGGACCAAAGUGGGGGCUCUUCGGACCUCAUGCUAUCGGAUGAACCCAGGUGGGAUUAGCUAGUUGGUGAGGUAAUGGCUCACCAAGGCGACGAUCUCUAACCGGUUUGAGAGAAUGACCAUUCACACUGGAACUGAGACACGGUCCAGACUCCUACGGGAGGCAGCAGUGGGGAAUAUUGCACAAUGGGCGCAAGCCGGAUGCAGCCAUGCCGCGUGUGUGAAGAAGGCCUUCGGGUUGUAAAGCACUUUCAGCGGGGAGGAAGGGUCACUAGUUAAUACCUAGUGGCAUUGACGUUACUCGCAGAAGAAGCACCGGCUAACUCCGUGCCAGCAGCCGCCGUAACAC